Molecule: long non-coding RNA, 338 nt
Filed under: Rattus norvegicus (Norway rat)
Lineage: Eukaryota; Metazoa; Chordata; Mammalia; Rodentia; Muridae
Description: long non-coding RNA NONRATT022440
Source: RNAcentral
CGCGGUGGCGGCGGCGGCGCGAGUCUUCGCUGCUUCCGCGGCGCGCCGGGACUACGCUGCGGAAUGGUGUGGUGGCUCGAUUCUCCCAGUGCCUGGCUGAGUUUCGGACGUGGUUAAGAACCAACUGGUUGAGGUUCAAUGCAGACAAGACGGAUGUGAUGCUGAAAAUGUGCAUCAGAUGUUUAUGUUUAAUUGGUUUACAGACUGUCUCUGGAUUCUUUUCCUGUCAAAUUACAAGCCAUCUGUUGAGUCUUCAAGUCCAGAAAUGGAUGAAAUGUUUGCCUGCCCAUGAAGGUACAGGGGGCUCAGCAGCGUCAGAGGACCAUGAGUUUGAUCCG